ACCUUUGGUGGUAGCCUCUGCUAUUAUUCCUUUUCAGGUACACAUGUCAGUCCAAGGGAGCGCCUCGAGUCUCAACCCUGACCUGUGCAUCAAAUCUCUAUUUUUAAACUCUGAUGACUUCAGGUGCUUUUUCUUGCUUUGGCUUGAAACUGACCAGGAAAAGAUUAUUACAUCACUGAGAACAGCGGUGGCUACAUAACUUAUAGUUGGAUCAAAAGAAAAUUCGAGGGAUUUUUCUUGCCCAACAACGUGAAUAUGACUAUUGUUGUUAAGAAAAGCGUUGGUGAUUUAUCGCCAUCAUAAAAAAAAAAAAAAAAAUCGACCCUAGCUCUUUCGCAUGAAAACCACUCCUCCUUACGGGCUAGGCUGUGUUCCACAUUAGCACGCUGCAAGAUGAAGAAAAAUGGAGG
RNAcentral lists this small RNA (410 nucleotides) under Histoplasma capsulatum. RNAcentral describes it as "hypothetical RNA". Lineage: Eukaryota; Fungi; Ascomycota; Eurotiomycetes; Onygenales; Ajellomycetaceae. The record is from RNAcentral.